Molecule: transfer RNA, 73 nt
Filed under: Capra hircus (goat)
Lineage: Eukaryota; Metazoa; Chordata; Mammalia; Artiodactyla; Bovidae
Also listed under: 1 other name
Rfam family: tRNA
About the family: Transfer RNA (tRNA) molecules are approximately 80 nucleotides in length.
Source: Rfam by way of RNAcentral
UCCCUGGUGGUCCAGUGGCUAAGACUCUGUGCUCCCAAUGCAGGAGGCCUAGGUUCAAUACCUGGUCAGGGAA